This 774-nucleotide ribosomal RNA is filed under the name uncultured Neocallimastigales. RNAcentral describes it as "partial large subunit ribosomal RNA". It matches the Rfam family "Eukaryotic large subunit ribosomal RNA", at positions 26 to 644 of the family's 3401-position model. Lineage: Eukaryota; Fungi; Neocallimastigomycota; Neocallimastigomycetes; Neocallimastigales. The record is from RNAcentral.
CGCAUCUGUGCAUGCAGCAUAUCAAUAAGCGGAGGAAAAGAAACUAACAAGGAUUCCCCUAGUAACGGCGAGUGAAGCGGGAAGAGCUCAAAUUUGAAAUCUUAAAGGGUUUCCCUUUACGAAUUGUAGUUUAAAGAAGUGUUUUCUGUUGAGGUUUUGGUAAAAGUUCUUUGGAAUAGGACAUCAUAGAGGGUGAGAAUCCCGUAUUUGACCUUUACUUUCAACUUUGUGAUACACUUUCAAAGAGUCGGAUUGUUUGGGAAUGCAGUCCAAAAUGGGUGGUAAAUUUCAUCUAAAGCUAAAUAUUGGCGAGAGACCGAUAGCGAACAAGUACCGUGAGGGAAAGAUGAAAAGAACUUUGAAAAGAGAGUUAAACAGUACGUGAAAUUGUCAAAAGGGAAGCGUUUGACACCAGUGUUGUUUUUCUGAAAAUCAAUUAAAGAACUGUUUAUGCUAAGCUGUUUAGACUUUAUCAGCUAACUGUUUAGUUUUGAGCUUUUCUUUAAUGCACUUUUCAGUUAACAAGUCAACAUCAAUUUCUUUUGCUGUAAAAAAGCUUGAGGAAGGUGGCUUGAGAUUCGUCUUAAGUGUUUAUAGCCUCUUGCCUAUGCAGUCGGAGAGAUUGAGGUCUGCAGCGUAGAUCCUUCGGGGCUAAAUGCAUUUGUGCUUAGUUAUAGCAUUUUAUAGACAACUUGUUGACUAUGAUUUGUCUUGUAGCUUACUCGCUUAUGUUAUUUUACCUACGCUUAGGAUGUUGAAUCUGUGCGAGACUAC